This 554-nucleotide long non-coding RNA is filed under the name Vigna radiata. RNAcentral describes it as "long non-coding RNA (VRAD_LNC000868)". Lineage: Eukaryota; Viridiplantae; Streptophyta; Magnoliopsida; Fabales; Fabaceae. The record is from RNAcentral.
UGUUGGUAUCGGAGGGGUUAAUUUUUAAAAGGAGUUUAGCGCAGCGGAUUAAAACACAGAGAGCGUACAGCGUAACAAGUCACAGUUGAAACAAUUUUGCCUUUUUAAGUUAAACGAUUUUCUUUCAGAAAAUUUACCAAGCAAAUAACGUACGUUAAUAAUAAAAUGAGUAUAGGGCAAAAGAAAAUCACACAGGGAUUUUUAUACUGGUUCGAUUCAACAGAAUCUACGUCCAGUCGUUAAUCACUACAAAGAGUGAUUAACAGUUCCACUAAAAAUUGGUUUAACAGAUUACAAGAUAAUAAACAGGAAUAAAAUGAAAGAAACUGACUCUACCAACUUGAAGAGAACCUGCACCGGCAAUCGACACACGAUUCACGUGCUUCUCUUUACACAAGAUCAGGUAGAGAGCCCUGCCAACUUGAAGAGAGUCCACUUCUGGUAUCGGCACACGAUACGUAAGCCUCUCCUUCCACAAGACCAAGCAAGGGAACACAGUAAACAAAAAAGCUUUCUCAAGAACGUUCCUCUGACUACUCAGUGUUCUGGCUUUU